This 910-nucleotide ribosomal RNA is filed under the name Pithecopus oreades. RNAcentral's name for it is "partial 16S ribosomal RNA". The stretch from base 168 to 910 matches the Rfam family "Bacterial large subunit ribosomal RNA", at positions 569 to 1935 of the family's 2925-position model. Lineage: Eukaryota; Metazoa; Chordata; Amphibia; Anura; Hylidae. The record is from RNAcentral.
GCAAAAAUCCUAACCCAAAUAAUUUGUAUUAUUUAACUUUUUUGCCCCUCCCCACUAAAACAUUUUACAGUUAUAGUAAAGGCGAUCGAAACAUCUUUUUGGAGUUACAUUUCUAGUACCGCAAGGGAAUAGUGAAAUAAAAAUGAAACAACUAUCAAGCACCAAAUAGUAGAGACCUCCCCUCGUACCUUUUGCAUCAUGGUUUAACUAGUCUAACCAAGCAAAAAGCACUAAAGUUUGCCCCCCCGAAACUAAACGAGCUACUUCAAGGCAGCUUCAAGAGCCAACCCGUCUCUGUUGCAAAAGAGUGGGAAGACCUUCAAGUAGGGGUGAUAGACCUAACGAGUUUAGUGAUAGCUGGUUACUUAAGAAAAGGACCUUAGUCCAACCCAAUUUUUUUAUAAUAUAUCAAGAUGAAAAUUAAAAUUUGGAGCAAUUCAAACAAGGUACAGCCUGUUUGAACUAGGACACAACCUCCGCAAACGGGUAAUUAAAUUUUUACGUAAUAAAGUAGGCCUAAAAGCAGCCACCUUCAAAAAGCGUCAAAGCCUAUUUACAAAUCAAUUGAAUCCCCCUAAUAACUAAAAACCCUUAAUCUGUAUUAAGUAAUUCUAUAAAAUUAUAGAACCUAUUAUGUUAAAACUAGUAACAAGAAUCAGAACUUCUCCUAAAUGUAAAUGUAAAUCAGACUGGACAAACCACUGAUUUUUAACACCUUGAAACUAAAGUAACAACUAAUCAAGAAAAUUUUACCUCAAAUAGUGUUAACCUGACACCAGAACAUUUCUAGAUAGAUUAAAAGGAAAAGAAGGAACUCGGCAAAUAUUAACCUCGCCUGUUUACCAAAAACAUCGCCUCUUGGUACAUAUAAGAGGUCCAGCCUGCCCAGUGACUCUGUUCAACGGCCGCG